RNAcentral lists this long non-coding RNA (1085 nucleotides) under Chrysemys picta bellii (western painted turtle). Its description in RNAcentral is "lncRNA (ENSCPBG00000000346.1)". The record is from RNAcentral. Lineage: Eukaryota; Metazoa; Chordata; Testudines; Emydidae.
GUAGUUCAAUAGGCAUUAUGAAUUUUGUAAUAUCCUUGCAGUGUUUUUACUAAAAGCCAAAGCAGAAUGACCCUAGCUGAACAAUACAUCUUGUAAAAUUGCAGCAGUUGCUAAAAGCUUGAAUACUGCAGAUAGCCAUGGGUCUGAAUGCAGUUCUGUGUACUCUUUAAGAACAAUUGAUAUAAUUUUCAGGUAUCUGAAGUACAGAGACUCAUCUGCUGCAUUCUGCCAGGCAAUCAUGAGGUUGAAAGUGGCCUGGAUCUCACCUAACAACUGUAAUCCACCAUCAACAAGUUGGAAGAAAAUGAAUAUAAGAUAUCAGAGCAAGAGGAACAGAGAAGGGAAGUGUGACAGAGGGGUAAUGCUUAAGAUGAUCCAGGAGGAAAAAACAACCCCUAAAUAGAUUCCAUAUUCCCUUGCUGUCCUUGUGAAAGGAGGAUAAGUCAAGGCUAGACAGAGAUGCAAAAAAGAUGAUACAACACAGGAAGAGGAAGUGACAAGAUGAAAGUUUUGCUGAGAUCAAACAAGAGAAAUGAGAACUAUAAGAGUCAUUCCUUCCUCUUGCAUUUGCAAGUUCAGGAUUGGCUUGUGCAAGGAGCCACAAGGGAAAAAGCAGAGUUUAACGGAUGACCUAGAGAUGCAGGGCCUGAUUCACUGCUCCAUUACACCAGUUUAGACUGGUAUAACUCUGACUUCAGUGCAGAAAAAUGGUGCAACACAGUAGUGAAUCAGCCCCUAGUUUGGACAAAUGUUAUAACAGUAUAGAGCCUGAACUAUGUGGGCUAUGGUGCAGAACACUAACAGUGCAAUGAUUUCCUAGAAUCAUAGAAUAGCAAGACUGGAGUCUCCUGCACUCAUGGCAGGAUUAAGUAUUAUCUAGACCAUCCCUGACAGGUGUUUGUCUGACAUGCUCUUAAAAACCUCCGAUGAUGGAGAUUCCACAACCUCCCUAGGCAAUUUAUUCCAGUGCUUAAUCACUCAUUAGGAAGUUUUUCCUAAUGUCCAACCUAAACCGCCCUUGCUGCAAUUUAAGCCCGUUGCUUCUUACCUUAUCCUCAGAGGUUAAGGAGAACAAUUUUUCUCUC